This 866-nucleotide long non-coding RNA is filed under the name Triticum aestivum (bread wheat). RNAcentral's name for it is "long non-coding RNA (TAES_LNC015588)". The stretch from base 503 to 638 matches the Rfam family "MIR1120/MIR1122 microRNA precursor family". Lineage: Eukaryota; Viridiplantae; Streptophyta; Magnoliopsida; Poales; Poaceae. The record is from RNAcentral.
GCCGACAUUGGGAUUUCUUUCAGUCUAGGAACUGAAAAAUUGUUGUGCGAUAGAGCUGAACGUCUUGAGAUGAUGAUAGCACUAUCAUAUCAUCCUAGGCAGUGCAGUGCAGGUAACCCGUAACCUCUGUCUGUCUGUCUGUCUGGCUUGCAUGUUUAAUAAUUGAAGUUGACAUAGAUACAUGGCUGGGUAAGGAGGGGACCUGGAAGAGUGAUUUUUUGGCAGAAGAACAAGAGGUAACAACAACAUUUUUGGAUAUACCCAGCCAAUUUGCAUGGCCGAUACAAUACAGAUCUUGUGUGUUUUCUUGUUGUUGUUGUUGUUUAUCAAGAGACGAGCAUGGUCUAUCUUAUCUUGUGAUAUAUGAUGGUCAUUAGUAGUAUUCAUCAUCAAUCAAUCUUUAAAUACAGGAUUGGAUGGUCAACUUGGGACUUGUUUGGUACAUCAACCAGAAGAAUGAAUUCCAGUGAGUGUUGUUGGCCGGUGCAUGCCACAGAGAUGAAUGCUACUCCCUCCGUUCCACAAUACAUGCCUUCCCUCUGUCAAAAUAUAGAUGUAUCUAGACAUGUUUUAGUAUAUAGGUACAUUCAUUUUUGGACAAAUGAAAAUCAAGUAUUUUGGAACGGAGGGAGUAGAUUUCAAUUACUUUCCAGUGAGUGUUGUUGGCCGGUGCAUGCCACAGAGAUGAAUGCUAGAUUUCAAUUACAGAAUCACCCUUUUGGGCGUCGAGAAUUCUGCUCGACGGUUGAGAGUUGAAUUUGAGCUUUGAGCGGACUUGAAACGUUUUGGAGUAUGUUCAAGUUGUAUUUUCUGUUCUCGCAAACACAGGCGUACGUACCAAGUGACGUGCGAUGUGAUUAUAUAUA